AAAUUAAAUAUUUAAUUAGGUGUUAUUUUAAUAAGUAAAAGGAAAAGUUGAAUACUGCAGUCCGCCGCUACUGUAUGGAGGAUGAAACUUUAUCAUGUCACUGGAUGUAUUGUCUGGGAAGACUAAGGAGUAAGAUGAAUCUGAGCCAGGAAGCCUGCCUAAUAUAUAUGUUGAUUC
Molecule: non-coding RNA, 177 nt
Filed under: Clostridiaceae bacterium BL-3
Lineage: Bacteria; Bacillati; Bacillota; Clostridia; Eubacteriales; Clostridiaceae
Source: RNAcentral